GGAAGUGCACGGGCGCCUGGUGGGCCCCCUGGUCUUCAAAACCAGUGUGCUGGCCAAAAGCUGGCGGGUGGGUUCGAUUCCCAUGCACUUCCG
This 93-nucleotide transfer RNA is filed under the name Deltaproteobacteria bacterium. RNAcentral describes it as "tRNA-Sec". It matches the Rfam family "Selenocysteine transfer RNA". Lineage: Bacteria; Pseudomonadati; Myxococcota; Myxococcia. The record is from RNAcentral.